This 486-nucleotide ribosomal RNA is filed under the name uncultured bacterium. RNAcentral describes it as "bacterial SSU rRNA". It matches the Rfam family "Bacterial small subunit ribosomal RNA", at positions 28 to 507 of the family's 1533-position model. The record is from RNAcentral.
GAUGAACGCUAGCGGCAGGCUUAACACAUGCAAGUCGAGGGGCAGCGCGAUGUAGCAAUACAUUGGCGGCGACCGGCGCACGGGUGCGUAACACGUAUGGAACUUACCCUUUACUGGGAGAUAGCCCGGAGAAAUCCGGAUUAAUAUCCCAUAAUAAACGAAGUGGCAUCACUUUGUUUUGAAAGCUCCGGCGGUAAAGGAUGGCCAUGCGCACGAUUAGCUAGUAGGUGAGGUAACGGCUCACCUAGGCUACGAUCGUUAGGGGGCCUGAGAGGGUUAUCCCCCACACUGGUACUGAGACACGGACCAGACUCCUACGGGAGGCAGCAGUGAGGAAUAUUGCGCAAUGGAGGCAACUCUGACGCAGCCAUGCCGCGUGCAGGAAGAAGGCGCUACGCGUUGUAAACUGCUUUUUAACCGGGAAGAAACCCUCCGACGUGUCGGAGGUUGACGGUACCGGAGGAAUAAGCACCGGCUAACUUCGUG